Long non-coding RNA from Ailuropoda melanoleuca (giant panda), 3041 nucleotides. RefSeq lists it as uncharacterized. The record is from RefSeq and is a predicted model, not a curated record. The transcript has 3 exons. NCBI's taxonomy places the organism in Eukaryota, Metazoa, Chordata, Mammalia, Carnivora, Ursidae.
CCCCAGUCCCAGCCUCAGUGUCGGGAGCACGGCCAGCAGGAGGGCAUGCGCAGUGGGGGAAAAGCCCUGGCUCAUGGCUGGGUCUGCUCAGUGUCUCCUACCAUGUCCCGCUCUCCCCUUUACCAUGUAGCGUCUUGUCUUUACACAUGUUCUCCACCACUCACCAAAGUGUGUACCCCUUUAUUAGUGCCAGAAGUUCAGAAAUUACAGAAGGAAACCCAGUGAAUCGCAGAAGUGGGACUUCGUACAAGUUUCUGGUGCAAGCACCAAAAAGAUUGCAAACCAGGCGCACUCAAACGAAACACGGAGUGUGGGUGUGGUCCUAAAGCAGCUGGUACAGUGAGACAGCAGCGCCUGGGUACUCUUCACAGUGAUGGCUGCUAAGUUUCUCCCAGGGAAUUGCCAAGCUGGUCCUCUGUGUUCUACUUAAACACGAUGAUGGGGGUUUUGUUCUUGUGCAUCUCCAGGAAGUCUGUGGUAUACACUCGAUGUCAGCCCGUUUCCCAGAAACGUCUUGAAUGGUAAGAACAAGACUGUUUGUUGUAUGCUCAACUGUACGUGCAGCAACGCUUCUUGUGUCUUCUCACCAUCACUUCCUACCUCACCUCCUCCACCUUUGGCCUUCCUUGUCACAUAAUAUCAUGGUCACCUCACAGGACAGAGCUGGAAUGUUGGGCCCAUGGCCCCAACUGCUCUGUGGGUUGUCGCUUGGAACAGGUUGUGGGGGGAGCAGGACAAGGAGAGUUGGCCCAGGAGACCGCUCUGAACACCACGCUGGGUGGCGAGGGUGAAGCGGGAGCGUUUUCUCCUCAGUCUCAAACCUGCACCAGGGCUUCAUGCAGAACAGGCAAUGAGCAGUUUUGACUCUCUUGUGAGUGAGUAAGACACCACUUAGUGAGCACAAGUAUUUCUGCCCUUCCUCUGCCUUCCAGCCUGAGCCCAAGGUGUGGGCUCGAGUGAAGGGAACCUGAGCUGUGGACAAGCAUACUGAGCAGGUGAGGCGACUCUGGCACAGGGGCACCCUCAACCAACCCGUGAUAAGCAUUUGGGGUGGUCCUGUCAGGCAAGCUCCUGGAAGACGACUGCUUACUGGAAGUCAGGGAAAUAACUGUGUCUUUGCUCUGUGUUUGUUUCUGUUUCCAUUCUUGCUUAAGAGAUUGCAAUUGCCCUUUCCACGUCCCUUUUGAUCUUCAUGAAAUGACACAGGGCAAAAGGGGACAAACAGGGAAAAUGGGAGCAAAACUGGCAAAUACCACUGGAAGACCAGAAAAGGCAAUCCCUGAUUGACAAGGGGGACGUUCCUGCACAGUUUUCUCCACCCAAUGCCUCACUAUUCAACCCUUGGCUCUGCCUGUCCAGAUCGCCCAGAGGGGCUGCCGCCAGCCUCCCAGCCACUGGGGCGCCCCCCUUCCCCGCCCUUGUUGGCUGUGUUCAGACUAGCCCCCUGCCCCACCACCAUGUCUCAAUGGCGCCCUAAGCAAUUUCCUGUGUGCUGAACCAGCCCUUCUCUGCAGUCCUAAUUAAUGAAACCCCAGGUGAGUGAAAGCAAAGCACAGCAGCAGAUUCAUAGAGGAGAUGCUUUUUAGGCAAGAGCGGGGAGAUUUAGAAAGUUGGCUCUCAAGUCCCGCAUAAUGACUCCCCUUUAGACUGAAGCCAGAAUCAUCAACAGUGAGAGGGUCAAGUCCAGUAGCAGUGGUUCCCCUUGCUCUCCUACAGAAACACCUCGUCCUGCGCGUGGCUGAAACCACCCAGCGGUACAAGCUCUCUGUUCCGACUCCAGUCGCCUCUCCCUGAUCACCAGACAGCAAAUUUCUUCCCAUCUGUGUGAUUGCCAAGCAUGUUGGUCUUGAAACUUUUAUUCAGUUCCUUCAUCAUUUUCUCUCUAAUUAUUUUGUGCUCUUCUUUCCUAUUCUUUGCUACACCCCUCUGAACACUCCAUAUUGGCAAUACCCCCCCAAUUUAGUCUCUGGAAUUGGCCAUAUGCUUGUAGCUGUUGCUGGUUCAACUCAAAGACCCUGGACUUCUAGUAAUAAAGCCUGAGUUAAAGGGACUUCGUUUUGGUGACCGCUUUUUUGCACCAUUGGUUCUUAUUGGGUUUGAGCUCCACUAAGAGCUCCAGAUCUUUUCUACUGAAAUUAUCCAGUUAGAACACCUCCAGUCUGGUCUUCUGAAAUCUAUUUUUGGAAGAACUAUCAUUUUAGAAUUUUCAAAAUAAUUAGCAGCUUUUUUAAAGGUUUUAUUUAUUCAUUCAUUUAUUUAUUUAUUUGGGAGAGAGAGAGACAGAGAUACCAAGAGAGAGCAAGAGCAGGGAAGAGACGGGGGAGCCCACCGUGGCACCCGGUCCCAGGACCCUGGGAUCAUAACCUGACGCAAAGGCAGACAUUUAACCUACUGAGUCACUGAGCUACCCCAUAUCCAGCUGGUUUUAGUGCAGGGUUCUAGCUUACCAUUUUGUUUCCUGGCCUUAGAAUGUCUCAUGGCAAAUAUUACUUAGAACAAUAGUUUUUCCUCCAGAGAAUUAAGAAAGCUAGAAGCUUGAGUUAGUCUUAUUAUCUCAAGCUUCACAGAAAAGGGGGGAGAAAUUUGAUGUCAUUAUUUUUUUAAAUACUCCAAUAUUAUAAACAAUAAUGGGUCCUUUAUGAUCUAUAGUAAUAUAAGGUGUAACCAGCACUCACAUAAAGAAAGAAAAUCCGAGAAGUGCCCCUAAUGCUCUCCAGGGAUGACCUCUAACUGAACUUUUAAGAGCCUGGGUCAAUUUUAGCCAUUCUUGUACUUUAUAUAAAUGGGGUCAUGUACUAGGCAUUCUUUCGUAUCUGCCUUCUGUUUUUGUUUUUCGUUUUUCUUUUUUGCUUACCAUUAUGGUUGAGAUUUAUCCAUAUUAUAAUACGUAGCAGUAAGUUGUGCAUUGUCACUGCUAUCAGUAUUCUAUUGUGUGACUAUAACCUAAUUUAUAAUAUUUGUAUACUUUAUAAUUUAUGAAUAAAUAUAUAAUCUGUAUAAUUUAUCCAAUUAAUGGAGGCUAUAUUGUUUUUGCAUUUUCU